Molecule: small RNA, 103 nt
Filed under: Klebsiella pneumoniae
Lineage: Bacteria; Pseudomonadati; Pseudomonadota; Gammaproteobacteria; Enterobacterales; Enterobacteriaceae
Also listed under: 1 other name
Description: partial RtT sRNA
Rfam family: RtT RNA
About the family: This family represents a bacterial cis-regulatory element known as RtT RNA.
Source: RNAcentral
UGCAUCUGAGGCCAGUGAGGAUGAGAACCUCCGGGGGCAGGAGGUUCGACUCGAGCGAAGCGAGAGAACGUUGCGUCAGCAACGGCCCGUAGGGCGAGCCACG